UACGUAGGGUGCGAGCGUUAAUCGGAAUUACUGGGCGUAAAGCGUGCGCAGGCGGUUUUGUAAGACAGAUGUGAAAUCCCCGGGCUUAACCUGGGAACUGCAUUUGUGACUGCAAGACUGGAGUACGGCAGAGGGGGGUAGAAUUCCACGUGUAGCAGUGAAAUGCGUAGAUAUGUGGAGGAAUACCGAUGGCGAAGGCGGUUACCUGGACAGUUACUGACGCUCAGGCACGAAAGCAUGGGGAGCAAAAGGG
RNAcentral lists this ribosomal RNA (253 nucleotides) under uncultured bacterium. RNAcentral describes it as "partial 16S ribosomal RNA". It matches the Rfam family "Bacterial small subunit ribosomal RNA", at positions 524 to 776 of the family's 1533-position model. The record is from RNAcentral.